AUUGAACGCUGGCGGCAUGCCUUACACAUGCAAGUCGAACGGCAGCACGGGAGCAAUCCUGGUGGCGAGUGGCGAACGGGUGAGUAAUAUAUCGGAACGUGCCCAGUCGUGGGGGAUAACGUAGCGAAAGCUACGCUAAUACCGCAUACGAUCUAUGGAUGAAAGCGGGGGAUCGCAAGACCUCGCGCGAUUGGAGCGGCCGAUAUCAGAUUAGGUAGUUGGUGAGGUAAAGGCUCACCAAGCCGACGAUCUGUAGCUGGUCUGAGAGGACGACCAGCCACACUGGGACUGAGACACGGCCCAGACUCCUACGGGAGGCAGCAGUGAGGAAUAUUGGACAAUGGGCGCAAGCCUGAUCAGCCAUGCCGCGUGCAGGAAGAAGCAUCUAUGGUGUGUAAACUGU
RNAcentral lists this ribosomal RNA (403 nucleotides) under uncultured bacterium. RNAcentral's name for it is "bacterial SSU rRNA". It matches the Rfam family "Bacterial small subunit ribosomal RNA", at positions 30 to 433 of the family's 1533-position model. The record is from RNAcentral.